Molecule: small RNA, 471 nt
Filed under: Pan troglodytes (chimpanzee)
Lineage: Eukaryota; Metazoa; Chordata; Mammalia; Primates; Hominidae
Description: retained intron
Source: RNAcentral
UCCAGGUAUGAAUUUUAAAUCUUAUCUUUAAAACAAAAUAAAUUUUUUUAGCAUAUAUGAAAAUUAUUUAACCUACUGAAGUCUUUUUUUUUUAAAUUAGGUUUAAGAAACAUUUUGCCUAUAACUACUGCCAAAGUGCCUAUAGUAAAAUUUGAACACAGACGAAGUGGGUUAGAAGGCGAUAUCAGUUUAUAUAAUACGUUGGCUCAACAUAACACAAGAAUGCUAGCUACUUAUGCAGCUAUUGAUCCUAGAGUGCAGUAUUUGGGAUAUACUAUGAAAGUGUUUGCUAAGGUAUUUAUGAAAAAAUUAAUGAUCUGCUUUGUUCAUGAUAAUUAAAAUGAAACAUAGCUAAUGUCAGAUUUGUGAAAAAUUUUGUCUCAGUUUUGUUUAUCUGAGCUUUUAAAAAAGAAACUUUCAGUAUUAUAUAGCUUGAAUAGAUACCUAUCAGAGUAGGGUGGCUCUGUCUUU